GACGAACGCUGGCGGCGUGCUUAACACAUGCAAGUCGAACGGAAAGGCCCUGCUUUUGUGGGGUGCUCGAGUGGCGAACGGGUGAGUAACACGUGAGUAACCUGCCCUUGACUUUGGGAUAACUUCAGGAAACUGGGGCUAAUACCGGAUAGGAGCUCCUGCUGCAUGGUGGGGGUUGGAAAGUUUCGGCGGUUGGGGAUGGACUCGCGGCUUAUCAGCUUGUUGGUGGGGUAGUGGCUUACCAAGGCUUUGACGGGUAGCCGGCCUGAGAGGGUGACCGGCAACAUAAGGACUGAGAUGCGCACCAGACUCCUACAGGAGGCAGUAAGGGAGAGUGUGGCACGAUAGGCGGAAGCCUGAAGCAGCAGCGCGGGGUGGGUGAUGACCGCCUUCGGGUUGUAGACCGCUUACGCCUGUGACGAAUCGUGGAUGACAGUAAUGGGUAAAGAAGCACCGGCCAACUUC
This 465-nucleotide ribosomal RNA is filed under the name uncultured bacterium. RNAcentral's name for it is "partial 16S ribosomal RNA". It matches the Rfam family "Bacterial small subunit ribosomal RNA", at positions 28 to 504 of the family's 1533-position model. The record is from RNAcentral.